AAAGUGGAGCAAUCCAUGAGUAGAGUGGCAAACGGGUGAGUAACACGUGGGUGACCUGCCUCAGAGUGGGGGAUAACGUUCCGAAAGGAGCGCUAAUACCGCAUAACAUCCUGCGUUUGGAAACGCGGUGAUCAAAGCCGGGGAUCGCAAGACCUGGCGCUCAGAGAGGGGCCCGCGGCCGAUUAGCUAGUUGGUGAGGUAACGGCUCACCAAGGCGACGAUCGGUAUCCGGCCUGAGAGGGCGGACGGACACACUGGGACUGAGACACGGCCCAGACUCCUACGGGAGGCAGCAGUGGGGAAUUGUUCGCAAUGGGCGCAAGCCUGACGACGCAACGCCGCGUGGAGGACGAAGAUCUUCGGGUCGUAAACUCCUUUCGAUCGGGAAGAACGCCUUCGGGGUGAACAGCCUCGAGGGGUGACGGUACCGAGAGAAGAAGCCCCGGCUAACUCCGUGCCAGCAGCCGCGGUAAUACGGGGGGGGCAAGCGUUGUUCGGAAUUACUGGGCGUAAAGGGCGUGUAGGCGGCCAACUAAGUCCGACGUGAAAUCCCCAGGCUUAACCUGGGAACUGCGUCGGAUACUGGAUGGCUUGAAUCCGGGAGAGGGAUGCGGAAUUCCAGGUGUAGCGGUGAAAUGCGUAGAUAUCUGGAGGAACACCGGUGGCGAAGGCGGCAUCCUGGACCGGCAUUGACGCUAAAGCGCGAAAGCCAGGGGAGCAAACGGGAUUAGAUACCCCGGUAGUCCUGGCCCUAAACGAUGAAUGCUUGGUGUGGCGGGUAUCGAUCCCUGCCGUGCCGAAGCUAACGCAUUAAGCAUUCCGCCUGGGGAGUACGGUCGCAAGGCUGAAACUC
Molecule: ribosomal RNA, 853 nt
Filed under: uncultured Acidobacteriota bacterium
Lineage: Bacteria; Pseudomonadati; Acidobacteriota
Description: bacterial SSU rRNA
Rfam family: Bacterial small subunit ribosomal RNA
Source: RNAcentral